RNAcentral lists this microRNA precursor (193 nucleotides) under Dichanthelium oligosanthes. Its description in RNAcentral is "MIR1435 microRNA precursor family". It matches the Rfam family "MIR1435 microRNA precursor family". The record is from Rfam by way of RNAcentral. Lineage: Eukaryota; Viridiplantae; Streptophyta; Magnoliopsida; Poales; Poaceae.
UUGGUUUGUCCUAAGUCAAACUUCUCCGACCAAGUUUAUAGAAAAAUAUAACAACAAUUAUACUACCAAAUAUAUACACUAUCAAAGUAUAUUCUAUGGUGGAUUCAAUAAAACAAAUUUGGUAUUAUAGGUGUUGUUAGAUUUUUCUAUAAACUUGGUCGAAGUUGAUAAGUUGAACUUAGGACAAACCAAA